Molecule: non-coding RNA, 66 nt
Organism: Potamilus streckersoni
Lineage: Eukaryota; Metazoa; Mollusca; Bivalvia; Unionida; Unionidae
Source: the annotation of a GenBank genome assembly
GUGCCCAGUGGUUAGAGCGUACGCCUCAGGUGCGGGAGGUCGUGGGUUCAAUCCCCGGCUGAGUCA